Molecule: ribosomal RNA, 425 nt
Filed under: uncultured bacterium
Lineage: Bacteria
Description: bacterial SSU rRNA
Rfam family: Bacterial small subunit ribosomal RNA
Source: RNAcentral
GGGGAAUUUUGGACAAUGGGCGCAAGCCUGAUCCAGCAAUGCCGCGUGCAGGAAGAAGGCCUUCGGGUUGUAAACUGCUUUUGUACGGAACGAAACGGUCCUGGUUAAUACCUGGGGCUAAUGACGGUACCGUAAGAAUAAGCACCGGCUAACUACGUGCCAGCAGCCGCGGUAAUACGUAGGGUGCAAGCGUUAAUCGGAAUUACUGGGCGUAAAGCGUGCGCAGGCGGUUUUGUAAGACAGACGUGAAAUCCCCGGGCUCAACCUGGGAAUGGCGUUUGUGACUGCAAGGCUGGAGUGCGGCAGAGGGGGAUGGAAUUCCGCGUGUAGCAGUGAAAUGCGUAGAUAUGCGGAGGAACACCGAUGGCGAAGGCAAUCCCCUGGGCCUACACUGACGCUCAUGCACGAAAGCGUGGGGAGCAAAC